Long non-coding RNA from Morus notabilis, 994 nucleotides. RefSeq lists it as uncharacterized. NCBI's taxonomy places the organism in Eukaryota, Viridiplantae, Streptophyta, Magnoliopsida, Rosales, Moraceae. The record is from RefSeq and is a predicted model, not a curated record. The transcript is spliced from 5 exons.
GAGUCACAAUAGGUGGGUUUGGUAGAGAUUUUAGGAGCUUAAAAUGAAUUCUCUAUCUAGUUAAAGUAUUUUUUUGUGUUUAGUAAAAACUUUAAAAAGUACUUUUUAAAAAAUUUGUGUGGAAUUUGGGCAGUGCUUCUGAUUCUGGAUUGUGCGGGAAUCCAUUGCCAUAUUCAAUGAAUUGUUUUUAUUUCUCAAAUUAACCCUGCUGAAUGUAAGAAAUCUCCAUCCCAAUUUUCACCCCUUCGCACUCUCCUCUCUCUUGCUCUUCACGAGCUCUCCCUUAGGCAAAGCACUCUCUUUCUGUUUCUCUCUUCUCACUCUGUUAUCUAGGACUCCCCUCUCUCCGUUUCUGAGUUGUUCCUGCAUUUUUCGGCGAGGCAGAGUCUCUACUCUCUAUGUGUUCUUUCGGUGAGACUGGGUUUGUUCUUGUUAGGGUUACCUGAUUUCGGGCCAGUUGGACACCGUCAGAUUGCCGGUUGCAGCUCAUCAGAUCAAUAGCCUCUACGGUGUAAAUGAUGACCGGCUCCUGCUUGAGUUGGUCAGAGGAAGAAGGAAACGACGUCAUUGUUGUGUGGGCGUGGGUGUGGGUUUGGCGGGUACCUUCGAUUUGCUGAUGUUCCUUUUCACUUGGAUUUCUAUCUUGUUUAUCCAGAUUCUGGUGUAAAAGGCAAGCUUGUUGCCCUUAUGUUGUGUUGAAUUUGCAUCAUUAUGCAGAAUUUGGAUGCUUUUGUUUCUUCUUCUUCUUGAAAGUAGAACUGGCACAAUAACCUUUCACCCUUCUUUAAAGAGUAAACGCAAGAGAACUAAUGUAGGUGAAACUAGCAACCAGAAUUUCAUGUAAAUGGCGAAGUACAACGGUUGAAUUCUGAUCUCUAGAAGCAUCUAUGCAUCAGGGGCAAGAGCAGCAAAUGCCUUCAUUUAAUCUCCCAUCUAAAUUUCUUUGUAAAGUUUUUAAUGUUCAGCUUCGGGCUGAAAUGGAAACAGAUGAAGA